AGACGAACUGUUCUAACGUUAUUCGGAAUCACCGGGCUUAAAGGGCGCGUGGGCGGUUUUUUAAGCGGGGUCUGAAAUCCCUCGGCUCAACCGAGGAACUGGGCUUCGAACUGGAGAACUAGAGUGAAGUAGGGGUAAGCGGAACUUGCGGUGGAGCGGUGAAAUGCUUUGAUAUCGCAAGGAACACCGGUGGCGAAGGCGGCUUACUGGGCUUCAACUGACGCUCAAGCGCGAAAGCUAGGGUAGCGAACGGGAUUAGAUACCCCGGUAGUCCUAGCCGUAAACACUGAGCGCUUGUUCGAGGGGGAUUUUUUCCUUCUCGGGCGUAGCGAAAGUUUUAAGCGCUCCGCCUGGGGAGUAUGGUCGCAAGGCUGAAACUCAAAUGAAUUGACGGGG
RNAcentral lists this ribosomal RNA (396 nucleotides) under uncultured bacterium. Its description in RNAcentral is "partial 16S ribosomal RNA". It matches the Rfam family "Bacterial small subunit ribosomal RNA", at positions 523 to 918 of the family's 1533-position model. The record is from RNAcentral.